AGAGUUUGAUCAUGGCUCAGAACGAACGCUGGCGGCGCGUUUUAAGCAUGCAAGUCGAACGGUAGCAGGGUGCUUGCACCCUGUGAGAGUGGCGAACGGGUGAGUAACACGUAGAUAAUCUACCCCUGGAAGAGGGAUAGUCCACGGAAACGUGGCUUAAUACCGCAUAAAGUCCGGCACCAUAAUUCCAGAGCGAAGCUCGGGUUAAGGAAGAGAAAGCCCUCAAGAGUAAAGAGAUAUUCUUGGGAAUUAUGGUGCUGGAUGAAAGGAGCAAUUGUUCCGUCUGGGGAUGAGUCUGCGGUCCAUUAGUUAGUUGGCAGGGUAAAGGCCUACCAAGGCGACGAUGGAUAGCCGGCCUGAGAGGGUGAACGGCCACACUGGGACUGAGACACGGCCCAGACUCCUACGGGAGGCAGCAGCUAAGAAUCUUCCGCAAUGGGCGAAAGCCUGACGGAGCGACGCCGCGUGAACGAAGAAGGCCGAAAGGUUGUAAAGUUCUUUUCUCAGGGAAGAAUAAAAGUAAGGGUGGAAUACUUACUAGAUGACAUUAACUGAGGAAUAAGCCCCGGCCAAUUACGUGCCAGCAGCCGCGGUAAUACGUAUGGGGCGAGCGUUGUUCGGAAUUAUUGGGCGUAAAGGGCGUGUAGGCGGAUUUGUAAGCCUGGUGUGAAAGACCUCAGCUCAACUGAGGGAGCGCGCUGGGAACUGUGAAUCUAGAGUUCAGGAGAGGAAGCUGGAAUUCCUGGUGUAGGGGUGAAAUCUGUAGAUAUCAGGAAGAACACCGAUGGCGAAGGCAAGCUUCUGGCCAUGGACUGACGCUGAGGCGCGAAAGCGUGGGGAGCGAACAGGAUUAGAUACCCUAGUAGUCC
Molecule: ribosomal RNA, 869 nt
Filed under: uncultured bacterium
Lineage: Bacteria
Description: bacterial SSU rRNA
Rfam family: Bacterial small subunit ribosomal RNA
Source: RNAcentral